Non-coding RNA from Pelobates cultripes (western spadefoot toad), 260 nucleotides. Lineage: Eukaryota; Metazoa; Chordata; Amphibia; Anura; Pelobatidae. The record is from the annotation of a GenBank genome assembly.
GUUAAAGGGUGCAGUGUGUGUGAUUUGUGUGUGUGUGUGAUGUGUGUGAAAGUGCUGUGCUGUGUGUGAGUGUGCUGUGUGUGAUGUGUGUGAGAGUGCUGAGUGUGAGAGUGCUGUGCUGUGUGUGAGAGUGCUGUGUGUGAUGUGUAAGAGUGCUGUGUGUGAGAGUGCUGUGAGUGAGAGUGCUGUGUGUGCUGUGUGUGAGAGUGCUGUGCUGUGUGUGAGAGUGCAGUGUGUGUGAGUGCUGUGUGUGAUGUGUG